This is a long non-coding RNA of Equus caballus (horse), 380 nucleotides long. RefSeq lists it as uncharacterized. The record is from RefSeq and is a predicted model, not a curated record. NCBI's taxonomy places the organism in Eukaryota, Metazoa, Chordata, Mammalia, Perissodactyla, Equidae.
UUUCCCUCAGAUUCUCCAGUAUCCAGCUUUUGCUGAGGAAGUUCCACCUUGAUAUACUGCCUAGUUCUAGAGAUGUGGGUUCAGGUCCAGGCACUGGAGAUUCUGGCUCUGGGAACUUGAUCAAGCCACCCUGUAACUGAGCUGCCGUGGGAAGAGUUCUCUAGGUUGGGUCUGGAUGUUCUGGGUCUUUCUCUUCUCUUUCCAGUGAUAAGGAAAUUGAAGCUUUACAAAGACAAGCAGCUAACCCAGACUCACCCAUCCCACCUGACUCCACAAAGUUCUGAGCCACUAUGAUAUGCUGUCUGAGAUAUUGAUCAAUGUUGACUGCAAAAUUAACAGAGGUCUCAAUAAUUAAACUAUAAAUUUAUAUACAUAUCUCC